Molecule: non-coding RNA, 1493 nt
Organism: Equus caballus (horse)
Lineage: Eukaryota; Metazoa; Chordata; Mammalia; Perissodactyla; Equidae
Source: RefSeq, a predicted model, not a curated record
UUGUUCCUCCUUUAUCACCUUCUUUUGGAUUACUUGAAUUUUUUUUGAAUUCCAUUAUAAUAUAUCUAUUGACCUUUUAGCUAUACCUCUAAAUAUACACAGUAAAUAUUUUACAGUGUGCUUAGAGUUAACAUUUAAUAUAAAAUGUAGAAAGCUUGUACCUGCAUAGGCCUGUUUAUUGCAACUCUCCAUCCUUUAUACUGUAGUCAUCAUUAUUACACCUACAAAAUUAAACCCUAUAACACAAUGGUAUAAUUUUUAAAAACAGUAAUUUAUUUUAAUAAAUAAGAAUAGAUAUAAUCUUUUAUAUUUGUGAUUUCAGAUUCUCUUCAUUUUUUCCCUCAAUUUCUGAGCUUCCAUAUGAUACCAUUUCCCAUCCCCCUGAGAACUUCCUUGAGCAUUUCUUGCAAUGUAGGUCGUUUGACAAUGAAUUAUCUUCUCUUAUCUGAAUAUGUUCACAAUUUUAGAUUAUUAUUAGACAUGGCUAGAUUCCCUGGGUCAUAGCAUUAACAAUCUAGUUGAUUAUAUUCAGGGAACGCUAUUUUAGGAUUUACUGAAGUAACUUAUUCUCAGGAUCUUUCCCUAAGAAUUGCUUAGUUAAACAUUGAUAUCACUCUUGGUUAUUUUACCAAGCUUUUAAAGUAAUAAGUCAAUGUUAUGUUACACAAUAAAGUACAUAUAGUAGAAAGGAAAAUCAAAAUACAUAUUGAUUUAGUGUUUUCAAAUGUAAGUCCAAACAGUAAAAUAAAACCAAACUCAAAGAAAUCUUAAAGUUCUGAUAGAUGCAGUUAAUAAAGCAAAAGCUUGAAAUGCAGAUAUACUGAAAUUAAGACACAGGAUCAUUUAUAUCUGUGUUAAACAUACUAGAACAAAAUUUAAGUGUUGUUUUAGAGAGGAAACAUAUGUCUUUUAUGUGGGUGGAGUUGCCUUAAUCUGAUUGUUUUUGUCAUCAAAGGGAUUUGAGGACAUCCAACAAAUUGUCAAAUUGCUUAUGAACUCUAAAGAAAUUAAAAUUUAUUUAUAGCCUGUUCAUUACUUGCUUCCUUCCAGGCAUAAAAUAGCAUUUCAUAGCUUUAGGGGUAGAAUAUAGAUCUUUCCAUGGUAAACAUAAGACUAUAUGAUCUGGCUAAUAAUUAUGUAAGAUCUUUCUUUUAUAACCUAAUAUUAUGUAAGCAUAGUUAGGGAUGGGUAGCAUGUGUACAGCAUUGUAAAAACACAAAACGUAAUAUAAAACCUAAACAUAACAGCCACUAACAUAUUAUUUUUUCUUGCAUCAUUUUUUUUCUUCCCAGUUUUGCCAUGAACCGAUGAUUACCAAGAGUGAACACUAAUAAAGUAACCCUUACCUUUUAAUGAAGAAAGGAAUCAUAAUGGCUUCAGAAGAAAAGCUGUCUUUGGAGAGAGAGGAGAAUGAGAUGGGAAAAGUCCUCAACUGUAUGUUACUUCUCAGUUUUAUGAAAAUAAUCUGAAGUAAAAAUCUGAAUAUGGCAAAA